This 254-nucleotide ribosomal RNA is filed under the name uncultured bacterium. RNAcentral's name for it is "partial 16S ribosomal RNA". It matches the Rfam family "Bacterial small subunit ribosomal RNA", at positions 29 to 313 of the family's 1533-position model. The record is from RNAcentral.
AACGAACGCUGGCGGCAUGCCUAACACAUGCAAGUCGAACGAGACCUUCGGGUCUAGUGGCGCACGGGUGCGUAACGCGUGGGAAUCUGCCCUCUGGUACGGAAUAACUCAGGGAACUUGAGCUAAUACCGUAUAAUGACUUCGGUCCAAAGAUUUAUCGCCUGAGGAUGAGCCCGCGUAGGAUUAGCUAGUUGGUGAGGUAAAGCUCACCAAGGCGACGAUCCAGUCUGGUCUGAGAGGAUGAUCAGCCACAC